This 553-nucleotide long non-coding RNA is filed under the name Arachis ipaensis. RNAcentral's name for it is "long non-coding RNA (AIPA_LNC000370)". Lineage: Eukaryota; Viridiplantae; Streptophyta; Magnoliopsida; Fabales; Fabaceae. The record is from RNAcentral.
UGAAUUUAAUCACACAUUGAAUUUACAUCUCAUAAAGAGGCAAUAUCAAAGCUAAUCUAGUAAAAUAGAUCGAUGAACAAAGAAAUUUAAAAAGUUGAAUCCAUAUAUGUUAACACAUCAAGUCAUCAAUAAUCGAUUAAUCAGAAAACAAGAUCUUGAGAGAGGCACAGAAACUAGACGAGAGCAUAUCAGUGGAGAGAAUUGACCAAAGGUGGGAGAGUUCAGAGGCAGUGACGGAGACUGGGGGAUCGGAGCAGAGAGCAGAUUUGAAGCAAAAACAGAGCAAUGGCGGAGAGAGGCACAAAAGAGAAAAAGAGAGCUGAUCGGAGACUAGCUCAGAGGUGGCGAAUGACAAAUGCUAACUUUCUAGAGAUUCAUAUUCAAAUCUGCGAACGCCAUCUUUCAUCUCAUCUCUGCAGUAGUAGGACUGAACGACGAAGAAAGCUGAACCACGAAGAACGUGAACCGCGAAGAGCACGAACACCAUUGUUACCUUCUCAUCUCUUCUCGUCUAAUCUCAACUCCAAUUGCUACAUGACCAAUUAAAUCAGUU